Pimephales promelas (fathead minnow) is the source of this 254-nucleotide non-coding RNA. NCBI's taxonomy places the organism in Eukaryota, Metazoa, Chordata, Actinopteri, Cypriniformes, Leuciscidae. The record is from RefSeq and is a predicted model, not a curated record.
AUGUGGAAACAAAGACACCUACAUCUUGGAUGCCCUUGAGGGGCAUCAGGUAAAUCACUCCUUAUGCCACUAUUAAAGUUCCUUCCUACUCCACAACUAACAACAAGUCAGAAUCAACACAGGUGUGGUACAAAUAUGCAGGGAUGGUGGAGUGAUGUGUGUGACAGGUGUCGGAGGGAUCCGUCAAUACCUGCGGCUUUGACGAGAAGCACCCAUCUGUGUGUGUGCACGAGGCUGUUCUUGAGGACAGAGUU